GACGAACGCUGGCGGCGUGCUCAACACAUGCAAGUCGAACGGAAAGGCCCUGCUUUUGUGGGGUGCUCGAGUGGCGAACGGGUGAGUAACACGUGAGUAACCUGCCCUUGACUUUGGGAUAACUUCAGGAAACUGGGGCUAAUACCGGAUAGGAGCUCCUGCUGCAUGGUGGGGGUUGGAAAGUUUCGGCGGUUGGGGAUGGACUCGCGGCCUAUCAGCUUGUUGGUGGGGUAGUGGCUUACCAAGGCUUUGACGGGUAGCCGGCCUGAGAGGGUGACCGGCCAACAUGGGGACUGGGCACGGCCCCGGCCCCCUCGGGGGGGGAGCGGGGGGGAUUUGGGAACAGGGGGCGGAACCCGUAGCCACCACCGCCGGGGGGGGGAUGGGGGCUUUGGGUUGGAAACCCGCUUGCGCCUGGGACGAGGUGGGGGGGAGGGAAGGGGAUAAAGAACCCCGGGCAAACUCGGUC
RNAcentral lists this ribosomal RNA (469 nucleotides) under uncultured bacterium. RNAcentral describes it as "partial 16S ribosomal RNA". It matches the Rfam family "Bacterial small subunit ribosomal RNA", at positions 28 to 507 of the family's 1533-position model. The record is from RNAcentral.